This 235-nucleotide unclassified non-coding RNA is filed under the name uncultured fungus. RNAcentral's name for it is "sequence contains ITS2". Lineage: Eukaryota; Fungi. The record is from RNAcentral.
AACGCACAUUGCGCCUCUCUUUACCGGGAGGCAUGCCUGUUUGAGCGUCAUUUAAACCAAUAAACAAACAUUUGUUUACAUUUGUUUGUUUGUUUUGGGUUUCACCUUUAGGCGUUACCUUAAAAUGAUGGGUCUAAAUUAGCGGACGAGAUCUUUCAAAGACUAACCGUGAAUCAGACCAUAUAAAUCUCUUGAUUUUGACCUCAAAUCAGGUAGGGAUACCGCCUGAACUUAA